AGAGUUUGAUCCUGGCUCAGAUUGAACGCUGGCGGCAUGCUUUACACAUGCAAGUCGAACGGCAGCACGGGAGCUUGCUCCUGGUGGCGAGUGGCGAACGGGUGAGUAAUGCACCGGAACGUACCCAGUAAUGGGGGAUAACACAUCGAAAGAUGUGCUAAUACCGCAUACGCCCUGAGGGGGAAAGCGGGGGAUCGUAAGACCUCGCGUUAUUGGAGCGGCCGAUGCCGGAUUAGCUAGUUGGUGAGGUAAGAGCUCACCAAGGCGACGAUCCGUAGCUGGUCUGAGAGGACGACCAGCCACACUGGGACUGAGACACGGCCCAGACUCCUACGGGAGGCAGCAGUGGGGAAUUUUGGACAAUGGGCGAAAGCCUGAUCCAGCCAUGCCGCGUGAGUGAAGAAGGCCUUCGGGUUGUAAAGCUCUUUCGCAAGGAAAGAAAA
This 443-nucleotide ribosomal RNA is filed under the name uncultured bacterium. RNAcentral's name for it is "bacterial SSU rRNA". It matches the Rfam family "Bacterial small subunit ribosomal RNA", at positions 8 to 451 of the family's 1533-position model. The record is from RNAcentral.